CAACGAUGAAGAACGCAGCGAAACGCGAAAGGUAAUGCGAAUUGCAGAAUCAGUGAGUCAUCGAAUUUUUGAACGCACAUUGCGCCUCUCGGUAUUCCGGGAGGCACGCCUGUUCGAGCGCCAUUACAAACUCCAAGCUGUUUGCUUGAUGUUGGAC
This 157-nucleotide ribosomal RNA is filed under the name Scolecobasidium aquaticum. RNAcentral's name for it is "Ochroconis aquatica 5.8S ribosomal RNA". The stretch from base 1 to 123 matches the Rfam family "5.8S ribosomal RNA", at positions 31 to 154 of the family's 154-position model. Rfam says of the family: 5.8S ribosomal RNA (5.8S rRNA) is a component of the large subunit of the eukaryotic ribosome. Lineage: Eukaryota; Fungi; Ascomycota; Dothideomycetes; Venturiales; Sympoventuriaceae. The record is from RNAcentral.